Ostrea edulis (European flat oyster) is the source of this 10702-nucleotide long non-coding RNA. RefSeq lists it as uncharacterized. The record is from RefSeq and is a predicted model, not a curated record. NCBI's taxonomy places the organism in Eukaryota, Metazoa, Mollusca, Bivalvia, Ostreida, Ostreidae. The transcript has 4 exons.
UUUUCGAUUUACAGCCUCCAGUAUAUCGCCUCAGUUCCCCGAGAUUCUUGCCACUGGUGCUACUCUACAAUUCGACCCUUUCUUUAAUUAUUUAUUCUUACCCCUCGAAUUUCUUUCUUCAGCUUUCCAACAACUGCUCUGUAUCAGACUAUCCUGAAACUCUCAGUGCGUUCUAAUAUAUACCCUUUGGAGACGUCCACUUUGUGGGAGAACAGGUAAUUCCAUUAUUGCCCUGAAUCUAAGUCUACUCUGCGUUUUUCACUAAUCAUUGCAUUACCCACGCCUAUGAUUUCAUGCGUCCCGCAUGUCUAAUAACUUUUUUAAAAUUUAUUUAUUUAUUUUAAAGGUACAUGUAACACCUGGUUACAAAAAGAAACAAAUACAUACACACACGUACUCUGUUUGAUAAACAUGUGUCAUUCUAGUCAGACCAACUGUCUUCUUCAAACUUUUCAUUGGUUUCUCCAUUCUCUUGAUACUUCCUAAUCACUCUGAUUAUCUUCUUAUGCCUUGUCUUAUUUGCCUCCUCAACAUGAAUGUUGGCCUGUGUAGCAACUUCGAUAGUUUGAACUCGUUUCUUACAACAGGAGCAGUGCAGAUCCUCUAAAGGCGCCUCCUGACCUGAUCCACUAUAGUAGCUUCGUCUUCAUUCUCUGUAUUCUUUUCUUCUAUUAUAACUUUUUCAGUGACUUGGUUCCCUUCGUCUGCUGCUUUUCGUUUAACACCAGGCAAAUGCGGGGUUAUUCUUUUUCUUUGAGUUCUACCUAACUCGACGUUUGUUUCUUCAAAAAGUAGAUCUCCUGGAUCUUCAUUCCAAUCUUCAUCUAUACCGGUAGCUGAUUCCACAAAUGAAUCUUGAAGCUGUCUCUUCUCUUGUAAUUCUGAUACCUUGUUUCUUACGCUUUAUCAACGAAGUUCUACCAAAAUCAUCUUUGGCGUUAGAGAAAGGGUGUUGAAACUUUAUCAGAGAUACUCUAAUUUUAGAUGCCUCUUCUGCUGUGAGCCCCUUAGUUGUUUCUAUGUACAAUUCAUUCAAAUGAGCCGGAAUGUUUUCUACAUCUUCACUUAGCGUCACUGAACUUAUCAUAUUUUCUUCUUCAGAUUUAACUACUUCCACUGGGGAAGUCAUUCCAACAACUGUAUUUCUAUAAAUUGUUUGAACUUGCUCAGCUAUAUUCAUUAAACGCAAUGUAACAUUUUUAGGUGGGUCCACCAGGUUUCUAGCUAUUAGGGUUUUACCGCCGUUAUCAAACUUCUUGCUGGGCUCUAUCAGCAGAGGUCCUUGUAUCUUUACACCUGGAGGUGACAAUAGCUACCCAGCACAAAUCAUCUCACUUCUAGGGGGAAUUGUUAUAUUUUCCUCCAGGUUAACACGAAAGCAACCUAUGUGCCCCUACAAAUGCAGCUCGUGUUCAACUCCAGAUGCAAACAUUUUAGUACGAGAUAUGUCCACUAAACAUUGACUCGAUCGAAGGAAAUCCAAACCUAGGAUCCCAUCUGCUUUAAUGUUUGCCACGACAGCUUGGCAGUCGAACUCAUGGUCUCCUAACUUAAUCAAAAAGUUACCUCGUCCCCUCACUUUCAAUGGAGUUCCAUCAGCUGCUACUAUGUUCCGAGAUACAGUUUCCAGAGGAAUAUUUACAGACUUCAUCAUUUCGUCAUACAGUCUAUCAGCAAAAAUAGUAAGUGUUGCCCCAGUAUCAACCAGUAGAUCACAAGGUACGAGACUGACCUGUGCUUUAAUAAACAGACCUGAUUCUAGAUUUGUCUUUGCAUGUUUCUAGACUUGAUUGUCACAUUUUUCUUUUGUGGUUACCUUUCCACAUUUUCAUUGGUCUUGGCCUUGGGUCUAGUCCUUGGUACCUCGUUUGGGUUAGGUCUGUUUCUCAAGAAGCAGUCUUUGAUUUUAUGUCCACGUUUUCCACAAUGAUGGCAUUUGUAGGGAAAAGCAGAUGAUUGUGGUGUAACAUUUUCAGAUUGAUUAUUUGAUUUUUCAUUUGAAAGUUUUUCAAUUUUGUUUUCUACUUUUCUUAAAGACAUGUGUAAAUCAUCCCUGAGCUUCUUAAAUUCUUCUCUUACACCGUCGUCAGCAUGAUUCACACUUUUAUUCUCUUGAUCCCCUGUGGCAUUUCUGGCAAACCCAACGUCAUGUCUUCGUUGCCUUUCUGCUCUGCAAAAUGCUUCAAUUUUGACUGCAAGUCGCACCGCAUCAUUAAGUGACUUUGGUCGAGAUUGUUGAAUACGGAGUCGCAUGUUGAAGUCUGUCAGUGCAUCGACAAACUGGUCUUUGGCGAUCCUUUCUGUUACUUCGCGGGGAGCAGUCGGGUAGGCUAAGUGAGUCAAACGGCGAAUACAUUCACCUAACUCUGGCAAAGUUGCUAUAGCUUUCUGUCUUUUCUCUUUCAGCAUCGCCCUGUACAACUCGGUUUGGUUUGCCGGUGCAAACCUGGCCUCUAAAGCAUCACACAAAUCCUCGUAUGUACAAGUUGUACAUGUUUCCUAAUAUUGUUUGAGCCUGUACUCUUAAUGAAGCUGCCAAGUACAAACUUUUCUGUCGAGCGCUCCACAUACUGAUAUCACAACAGGCCUCAAAGUGAGCCUUGUAGUCAAUCCAAGAUCCCACACCAUCAAAUGUCGCCGGUGUCAUAAUUGGUUUGCUCACAACACAUUCUGUGGUUUUAUUUGUUGCACUGUCAUGACUGGGUAUCUGUUGUUUGGCAGAAAAUGAACCAAUCCCUGCAUUUCGGCUGUUUGACCAAUUUACACUUGUAGUUGUUGACGGAGCAGCAUAUCCACUAGUACACCAAGGUAACCAUGUUGUUGGAGUUGAUCGAGGAAGAGAUGUUUGCUUAAAUUGUCUUGGUAAAUCAUAUUUGCUUGGUUCUCUGGAAGUAGACGUAUCUCUACCUGUGCUUCGGUCUUCCUCAUACAUUGUGUAACUUGUCUUUGGGGACGUCAAGGGUCUAUAGUCCUCUAUGCCACCAGUUGCGCCCUUUUCCUUAUUGCCCAAUGUGCUUGUGAAUUUCGAUGUAAGCUCAUCUAAACUGAUUUCAAAUGGCUUAUAUCCAGUAUCUACCCCCGAAUCUGGUAUCCUCGAUGGAUUUGUAGAUGUCUGUGGUGUAGACUUCAUUCUACCUAAUGUUUCUCUCAGUUUCUCUCGCAUGGCGUCUAUAGCACUUAGAUCGGCCAAAAGGUCCACUUCUUUGUCUGACAUCUUACUUUUCUCUGAUAAACUUACAAAUUCCUAAUUCUAUUAAUAAUUAAAACAAACUUAGCCUUAGUACAAAACCUGGUUUCACUGACCUGGUACACCGGACCUGGUCACACUGAACCUGGUAAACAGGACUUGGUAUCACAGCACCUGGCUCUCUGUGUCCGGUUAGCAGUACUUGAUAAACUGUACCUGGUACCUAAUACACUUGUCUUAUCAACUUUUAUCCCCUGAUCAGCUGCCACCAAAAUGUAACGUGUACCCUGCGUAGGAUUCUAAGGGGAGAAAUUUCCCCCAACUCUACCCGAGUCUAUGAUUGAUUUAUAUACAGCAUUGGGUAACUCUUAUCACCGUGUACCUUCCCCCAGGUUCCUAUUGAUGGCGGAUACUAGGUGUUUCAAUCUUUCGAUUUACAGCCCCCAGUAUCUUGCCUCUAUUCCCCGAGAUUCUUGCCACUGGUGCUACUCUACAAUUCUACCCUUCCUUUAAUUAUCUAUUCUUACCCCUCGAAUUUCUUUCUUCAGCUUUCCAACAUCUGCUCUGUAUCAGCCUACCCUGAAACUCUCAGUGGGUUCUAAUAUAUACCCUUCAGAGUAGUCCAUUUUGAGGGAGAACAGGCAAUUCCAUUAUUGCCCUGAAUGCAAGGUGAAGAUAACGAACAGUGAUCAAUCUCAUAAUUCCUACAAGCAAUACAAAAUAGAUAGUUGGGCAAACACGGACCCCUGGACACACCAGAGGUGGGAUCAGGUGCCUAGGAGGAGUAAGCAUCCCCUGUUGACCGGUCACACCCGCCGUGAAUCUAGGUCUACUCUGCGUUUUUCACUAAUCAUUACAAUAGGAAGUCUCAUAAUUUCUCAUGAAAAAGUGAAGAUAAUGAACAAUCUUAUAAUGAUUACACAAUUGAGAGUAGGGUAAACACGGAUCCUUGUUAAAGUAAAUAUGAGUGGUGGCAACUGCUGUGCCAUUAUUUAUGUAUGGGGGCGCCUUAAUUCAAUGAGAAACAAUUUCUCGGAAUAAGUAAAAGAUAACCCAAUUUGUAUGUUUUACAUAUUAUUGAACAUGCAAUUUUUAAAACCAUUAUAAGAACACAUGGACACACGUCACACAGUUUGAACACAAUCACACAAGUUCAUUCUUCUUUUUUAGGGGUUCCGGGGUUUUGAAGGCUCGUUGACCUCAUUGUGAAAGUCAUUGCUUCGGUUUCUAGUGGCUGUCAGUCACUUAUCCAGGGUCCUAACUGUCCGCAUUUGUAACAGGGUACAUGGGGAAAUCUAGCGAUCAAUGCUCCAUUUCUAGUGCUGUGGUCAUUUCUCAAAAGUGGCUUUAAAAUGGGAGUAACCCCAACCUAGGGUAGAACAAAGUACAACCUAUUUGAUUUGAUGCAGAAUUUUCUGUACAUUUUGGAAAUGAUGGUUGUAGUCUGAUAAAAUCUGUUUGACUUAGCCUAAAUUUGGAUUUUCUGUCACAAAGUCACACUAUUUUUGUGAAAAAAUUAGUGAGUACAUUUUGUCUAAUUAUGACUGACUUUAUGCAGGAAAUCAAACAAAAAUGGUUCUAAACCACGUAGCCUAACCCUGCCAAUUGUAUCAAGACUUUUAUAUGACAAUACUGUGCAGGUGUUUUGGAUGAUGAAAGAAAUAUGGACUUAAAUUGUCAAAAACGUCUUCAUUUUUCGUUCCGAGUACGCUCAUUUCGUGCGUCUGACAGACCGAUUCAUCAUAGAAGUGGCAUAUACUACACAUCAAAAUUUGUCUCAAUGACUCCUCUCUCGACUGGUAUAUAGUUUGCAUGUGUGGCAUAAUCCAUUAGGCUGUAAGACUGCAAAAUGAUACCCCCACACUCAAAUUUGAGAAAUUGUUAAACAUUUGUGCAUUUGUAUAGAAUGGCAAUUAUAUAGAAGAUAAAGUGGUUAAUCAUGCAAAACAAUGCAAAUUUAUCAUAAAUAAGCUGUAUUAGAGUCUAGAUAAAAUGUUUUAGUGCUGUUCUAUAAAACUAUGGCACAUCUACUAAGUCAUUGGGUACCUUCGCUCCGUAGUUACAUGAAAUUAAGGAGUUGGUGGAUUUUUAUUUCAAUGUUAUUUUGAUAUGCUAAAGGCCACACCCCAGAAAACCAUUUACGAGUUGAAGUCAAAUAGUAACAAGUUUAGAAUUAAAUACAUCACUAUAUUUAUACCAACAACUUCAGUUAUGUUAAGACAAAGUACAUUGUAUAUCUGGAUAUUUAGUAAUUGUUAAUACUUGUGACAUGAAAAUAUACUGAAUAAUUCAUUAAAAUCACAAGUAAAUCUAAGUACCUAACACUGUUGAAGUACUGUAUCUACUUUGUCAUCAAUGUGACAUGUGAAAUAAGUAUGCAUCACUUAUACAUGUAACUGUCUGACAUGAUAUACGUACAUGUAUAUGCUCAUACAAUCUUAUCAAUAAGUUUAGUGAUUCAAUGAUUGUUAACUAUACAAGUUUACAAUCACUUAUGUCAUAUAUGCUCUAAGUGCACCAUAAGUACAAAGUUAAAGAGAUACAGUGAAUGACAAGUUGUGAAUGUAAAUCAAUAUACAUUUUCAAGUUAAGAUCGUCAUUGUUACUCAGUUAAAAUUAUCAUCACUGUCAGUAAUAGCCUUUAGAAUGUUCUGGCAGUCACCAUGGCAUGCACAAAACUCAGUGCAGUGAAGGUGGUCCAGCAGACAGUGACACUUAUUGGAGUGCUGGCAGUCAUGGUCUGUACAGUAUAUAUGAGUAAGAUCGCCGACUUCCACUGGUGCUGAUUCUUUGGUAUAAAUUACUGGUUCAAGCAGACCAUCUGACAAAUACCAACCGUUGCCAACAGGAGUAUCUGGGAUCAGAUUGGCGAUGUGACUUUGACACCAGAUGCUGGCCUGUUACCUUGCUCUGAGGAAAUGCUGCUUGAAAGCACCUUUUGUUGGUGGCAUUUGUGAGGCAGGGUUGUCUGUUUUCGAGGCCAGGAGGUACCGAAGCUGGUCCAAGGAAGAACAUGUCUUCGCUUUCUUUCCAUACAAUCUGAGGACAUAAGAAUGUGCAGAAGAAACAUCUACUUCCACGUUAUUCUGCAUUCCAAAUGUUAUCAGUGAAUGAAUGUUCUUUCUCACAUGUUCCUGCAGUUUUGUGUAAGCAAUGCGCUUGCCUAUUUGAUAUAAACUGCUUGUGUUGUCAAAUCCCGUGAGUGCAUGUGCUGCUGGGAGACAUUCACAGAACUUCACACCAUGUUUUGCCACAAUGAAAUGAACAGGAAUGUAACGUUGCCUGUUGAUUGUUGGGGGUGUUAUGGCCUGCCAGCCAGCAUGUAUACAAAAUCAGUUGGCAUAUCCUUGCUGUAAUAGUAUAAUAGCAGCACCAAAACAUCAGUAUCAUCACUUCGAAAAACCAGGCGAUCAUGAGUGGAAGACAGAUCGAUGGCAUGAAGCAGCAUUCUUGUAUCCGCUUCUUCUUGGGAACUGAAGAAGCUUGAAAUGGUAGCUGCUCCUGUCGACGUGGCAAGUUUUGCUAUAUAUGUCCUUCAUGAAACCCUCCAGCAAGGAUUAUUAUCUGGUUUCCUGAUAGCAUACUGGGUGCAACACUGACAAUGUGGUCAGAGACAAAGGCAGCAAGGGCAGCUUUGUUUCCUGAUACCUUAAGAAAUUAGGAACCUAACGAUUUGCUUUGAUAACGUAUCCAGCUUGCUUUGUUUCUCCACGCCUGUUUCGUUCAGCUGCCUUCACACUGAGUUUAUGGUCAUAUCUAUCAAAUACAAUGACCACUGAUUUUACACCUCGAUUCUUGUCAAAGGGGUUGAUCAUAAACUUCAACAAGACAUUAGCAAGGUCAAGAAAUGUGACAAAUAGCGUUUCCUUAAUUCCCUGUAUCAAUGACAUUCCAUCCAGAAUGUAUGCUGAUGAUACACUUCCUCUGAGUUGGCCAGUGAUGCAUUCUACUGAUGCCUCUAACUUCUUUGCUAGGUCUGACUUUGUAGUUUUUCUCAUAGCUCCGUCGUCAUAGGAGAGCGAGGGGGAUAUUGCUGACAGCUCAUGUGUAAGUACGUUUUCAAGGUUGACUUUUAGUUGCUUUGAAAAAACCAGCAAUCGACAAAAGAGGACCUCUGAGUCAACAAUAAGCUUCUCUUUGGCCUUGUUUAUGACAGGCUUCUUCAUAUCGGCAAAGGUUUUGACUUUCAAUCUCGACUCUGUGUCCCAGAAAUUCUUUGUCUUUGAGGAGGUGACUCUACUAGUAAUGAACUCUCUAUGUUUUGUUGUUCCUUGUUCCAGGAAAUUGUUCAAACUUCCCCUUACUUCUUUUGAAGCCACUUGUCCAGUGAUGAUGUUGAUCAGUUCUGCUGGCACUGUGUCUAGAUCGAAUGGAUUCUGAAUAUUAGCUGCAUUUUCAACUAUCUUUAUAACAUCCUUCUCAUCCCUUUCUCUUCUGGCUUUGCCUAGCUCUUGGUGUGGCUAAUCAUUCUGAGAGCUCUCCUUUGCAAUGAACGCUUCAACAUAUUCAGCUGUGAUGUGCCUGGUUGUUAGCCAACGUGUUAACCUGUCUUUCUUCUUGAGAGUCCAAUUACACCGCCUUUCCUAUUCCCAUUUCUGUUUACUGUUUGCUCUAAUGCUUGAUCAAUUGCUACAGCAUUGAAGCUGUGGCUUGGUGUUCUUCGAACCACGAAUCCUCCAUCAAGCUGAUAUAAAACUGUUGCUAUACAGUACCACAUCGUACCAUGUAAUACUAAAUCCUCUGAGUAUUGUAUGUAAAGUCACAUGUCCUAAUUUGCGCUAAUUCAUGUAUGUUGUUGUGCAUAUAAUAAUUAACCAUUUUCGUUUUGAUAUAAAUACCAUAGAUGAUUGAUUGUAUCUUCCUUAACGUCUCUCUCGAGAAUUUUUUCCCUCAUAUGGAGACGUCACCAAGACCGAUGAAGGGCAUCAAAUUUAGGCCUUUGCUCGGCGCUUACGGCCUUUGAGCAGUGAGGGUUCUUUAGCGUGCCACACCUACUGCGACACGGGACAUCCGUUUUUAAGGUCAUCUCAGAGGACCUUUGACAUUCACACCUGAUGCCGAGCAUUUGGCAAUGAAACUGGCACUGCCUGUUUCAACGACUUAGGUCCUUAUGUCUUUCGCGGCCGGGUUUCGAACCCCGGGGCGAAUGCUUUAACUUCUAGGCCACCGCAGCGGUUGAUUACCAUAGAAUACCCCCCCCCCCCCUCAAAUUUGAGAAAUCGUCAAAAAUUUUGUGGAUUUGUAUUAAAUGGUACAAAAAUUACCAUAGAAUAACUUUUGUACUAUUUAUUACAAAUCCACAAUUUUUUUGACGAUUUCUCAAAUUUGGGGGUGGGGUAACAUUUUGCAGUCUUACAGCCUAAUGGAUUAUACCACACAUGCAAACUAAAUGCCAGUCGAGAGAGGAGUCAAUGAGACAAAUUUUGAUGUGUAGUAUAUGCAACUUCUAUGAUGAAUCGGUCUGUCAGACGCACGAAAUGAGCGUACUCGGAACGAAAAAUGAAGACGUUUUUGACAAUUUAAAGGGAACGUAGGGUUAAAAAUCAAAUUUUGAUAUGUGAAAACUGGUACCAUGCAGACAACAAAAUCUAGCAUAGAAAAAAUAAUUGCUGCUGAUAACAAGAUUUAAUCUGUCAUUUAUACUGAAAACUGAGCUGAAUGGUAGAAUCUCUUAUCAUGGCGGCUGAUGACGUGCAUGCGGCAAUUCAUUACAACUGUUGUGCCUAUAGCACUAAAUGGGUUACAGAGUAUCUAUAAUUUAAAUGUCGGGAGUUCAAGCGAAAUUUUUCACUGUGGUCAAAGGAAAAGGAAUACAUGUAUCUACCUUUUAGCAUCCCUGAUCUCCCCCCAAAACUAUGAACAUUGUGCAAUAAUUGGAUACAUAACCUUGGAAAUGAUUCGUUUGUUUUUGAACGGCAUUUUGAGAAAGAUUCUUUUAAAGAUAUCAGGGUAAGUAUAAAUUAUAUUUGCAUUUUACUUGGUAAAUACUAAUAAUUCUUAAUGUGUAAAUAACCAGAGUUUAUUUACAACAAACUUUUACUUAUAUGAUAAUUUUCUAAUUUAAAUCUAAUUCAGUUUAUUCUAAUAUCCUUAUCCAGUGAACAUUUUGUACAGGCUAAAUAUGAAGGGAUGGGUAAACACUGCUUUUUAAAUAUUCAAAGUUAAGAUUAAUAUCUAUUUAAGUUACGAUAUUGGGAUACACACCAAAACCUAUUGAAAAGAAGAUGCAGUAACUAAAAUCUUUGAUGGCAGCAAGCCUAAGAAAAUAAGAGAAAAUAGCUCAAAAAGAUGAGGAAAAGAAAAAGCAGGAUACAUGUAAUACUUUCAAAAUUCAUCACAGCACUAGCACAGUUUGUAUUAUACUAUUGUUUUUAAAGAAAUUGAAAAUGUGUAGUAGGGUGAAUUAAUAUCAAUAAUUUAUCUUAUUUUUAGUGUAAAUAAAAUAUGUAAGUUGCAAAACAUAAACUUUUAUUGGAUUAUAUAAUGGUCUUCCAUAUUUCUCUAUUUAGAUAUGUAGUAAUGUAAUUAUGACCUUAAUGGCUUUCCUUAUGAUUAAACCAUGCAUGCAGUUGUUGUUCAUGGUCUAUUUAAUUCAUUUUGGUUGGCUAAGCUUAGUGUCAAAGGUUAUAUGUCAUGGGUUUGGUGAGUUCUGUUGGAUUUUUAGAUAGUCAGUUGUAUUCACUAGCAGAGUGUUGAAGGGUGGUUUUCUUUGCAUAUCUUUUGACAUCUUUUUUCUGACUUGAGGUAAGAAAAUGAAUCUUAACAUAUUUAUUGGUGUGAAUGUGUUAAUGAAUGAAAGAAAUGAAAUUAUGUACUUUAUUUCAUAUUUAACAAAGGAGUAAAAUAGAAUUAAUAUUUUAUACAGGUUCCUUGAAAAUCAGUUAUCUUCCUAAUUUUUGAUAUUUUGGCUCUGGUACCAUAUAUCUGAGCUGCUAUUUACAUGUCAGAAAUAGAUUUAUUUCUUCAAUAAACUCAUAACCUGUCACGGAUGGUCUGUGUGGUCAUUAGAACCGGUUUGCAACCCCGUAACAAAUCUAAUCCAUUUUCUUUUGGAAACUAAUGAAAACUCAUAUGCAGAACCUAUUGACCAACCUGGACUAUCAGCAUCUAAGGAAAUAGCUCAAAGACAUGAAUAGUGACAAAAAUAUCCCACUCUCAAUCCAUAUUGAAGAACAAAUCAACUUUGUGCAACAUAUACAGAUAUAAUUGCCCAGUCAUUGUCCAUCAUAUGUGCUAAGGAAUGUUCAAGUGAAGAAGUGAAGAUAAUGAACUGUAUUAAGAACACAAAAUUAAAAAUUUAAGAAUUAAGAGUGUCGUUUUCAUCAAUCCAUCCCAAUUCAUUAGUGUUUUCAUUUGAAGCUGGUAAUAAUUCCUCUUCAUUAUAAUCAGGCUCAAAUUGAUAUCAUUUGCAGUCAGACAUGAUCAGCUGCUUUCACUGAGAGGCAAUUGCCCGGUAUACAUCAUAAGCAGAUGGGAUUGUGGGAAAUAUCUUAAAGAGCGAUAACUUUAUCUUGC